RNAcentral lists this long non-coding RNA (253 nucleotides) under Physcomitrium patens. RNAcentral's name for it is "long non-coding RNA (PPAT_LNC014983)". Lineage: Eukaryota; Viridiplantae; Streptophyta; Bryopsida; Funariales; Funariaceae. The record is from RNAcentral.
AUGUUUUCGUAAUUGGACCCAAUUGGCUCUUCAAACCAAGCUCAUCCGUCGUUGAAUUGGUCCUUUUUCUUAGUGAUGACUUCCAUUAUUGGAAUCGAAUGGAGCAUUUCAGUAUGCCCUGACCGAUUGUGGCAGAGUGUCUGAAUUGGCCCCUGAAUAUUGGCACUUGAAUUAGUGGUUGCUCUCAAUAUUUGAGGUAAUUGAACAUUAAUAAAAGUCCCCUUUCUUUAUGUUUUCACGGUAUAUCAUAUUA